GAAAUGCGAUAAGUAAUGUGAAUUGCAGAAUUCAGUGAAUCAUCGAAUCUUUGAACGCACCUUGCGCUCCUUGGUAUUCCUUGGAGCAUGCCUGUUUGAGUAUCAUGAAAUCUUCAAAGUAAAUCUUUUGUUAACUCAAUUGGUUUCUACUUUGGUAUUGGAGGUCUUUGCAGCUUCACACCUGCUCCUCUUUGUUCAUUAGCUGGAUCUCAGUGUUAUGCUUGGUUCCACUCGGCGUGAUAAGUUAUCUAUCGCUGAGGACACUGUAAAAGGUGGCCAAGGUAAAUGCAGAUGAACCGCUUCUAAUAGUCCAUUGACUUGGACAAUACUUUUAUGAUCUGAUCUCAAAUCAGGUAGUACUAACCGCUUAACUUAAGC
Molecule: unclassified non-coding RNA, 378 nt
Filed under: plant metagenome
Description: partial contains 5.8S ribosomal RNA, internal transcribed spacer 2, and large subunit ribosomal RNA
Rfam family: 5.8S ribosomal RNA (bases 1-105)
Source: RNAcentral